RNAcentral lists this ribosomal RNA (253 nucleotides) under uncultured bacterium. Its description in RNAcentral is "partial 16S ribosomal RNA". It matches the Rfam family "Bacterial small subunit ribosomal RNA", at positions 524 to 776 of the family's 1533-position model. The record is from RNAcentral.
UACGUAGGUGGCAAGCGUUGUCCGGAUUUACUGGGCGUAAAGGGCCCGCAGGCGGACCUUUAAGUGGGAUGUGAAAUACCCGGGCUUAACCUGGGUGCUGCAUUCCAAACUGGGAGUCUAGAGUGCAGGAGGGGAAAGUGGAAUUCCUAGUGUAGCGGUGAAAUGCGUAGAGAUUAGGAAGAACACCAGUGGCGAAGGCGACUUUCUGGACUGUAACUGACGCUGAGGCUCGAAAGCGUGGGGAGCGAACAGG